GGGAAUCGCGCGUGAUUACCGCCUCGCGCCACUGUGAGUGGGGAGCGCCGUCCCGUACCGCGAAUCGCGGCGCCACUGUCCACCGACGCGCACGGCGUGUCGGAGAUGGGAAGGCGAGGACGGACGUGAUGAUCCACGAGUCAGGAGACC
Molecule: non-coding RNA, 150 nt
Filed under: Candidatus Rokuibacteriota
Lineage: Bacteria
Source: RNAcentral